UACGUAGGGGGCUAGCGUUGUCCGGAAUCAUUGGGCGUAAAGCGCGUGUAGGCGGCCCGGUACGUCCGCUGUGAAAGUCGGGGGCUCAACCCUCGGAUGCCGGUGGAUACUGUCGGGCUCGAGUACGGAAGAGGCGAGUGGAAUUCCUGGUGUAGCGGUGAAAUGCGCAGAUAUCAGGAGGAACACCGAUUGCGAAGGCAGCUCGCUGGGACGUUACUGACACUGAGACGCGAAAGCGUGGGGAGCAAACAGG
Molecule: ribosomal RNA, 253 nt
Filed under: uncultured bacterium
Lineage: Bacteria
Description: partial 16S ribosomal RNA
Rfam family: Bacterial small subunit ribosomal RNA
Source: RNAcentral